Molecule: ribosomal RNA, 459 nt
Filed under: uncultured bacterium
Lineage: Bacteria
Description: partial 16S ribosomal RNA
Rfam family: Bacterial small subunit ribosomal RNA
Source: RNAcentral
GCUACGGGUGGCAGCAGUGAGGAAUAUUGGUCAAUGGCCGGAAGGCUGAACCAGCCAAGCCGCGUGAAGGACGAAGGUGCCAAGCAUUGUAAACUUCUUUUGUCAAGGGACAAAAUCAGGCUCGAGAGCCUGACCGAGGGUACCUGAAGAAAAAGCAUCGGCUAACUCCGUGCCAGCAGCCGCGGUAAUACGGAGGAUGCGAGCGUUAUCCGGAUUUAUUGGGUUGAAAGGGUGCGAAGGCGGGCUGGUAAGUCAGCGGUAAAAGCGCGGGGCUCAACCGCGGGCAGCCGUUGAAACUGGCUGUCUUGAGAUGUCGAGAGGUAUGCGGAAUGCGCAGUGGAGCGGUGAAAUGCAGAGAUAUUGCGCAGAACUCCGAUUGCGAAGGCAGCAUACCGGCGGCGAUCUGACGCUGAGGCACGAAAGCGUGGGUAUCGAACAGGAUUAGAUACCCCUGUAGUC